This 293-nucleotide unclassified non-coding RNA is filed under the name fungal sp. RNAcentral's name for it is "partial internal transcribed spacer region". The stretch from base 1 to 46 matches the Rfam family "Eukaryotic small subunit ribosomal RNA", at positions 1786 to 1831 of the family's 1831-position model. The record is from RNAcentral. Lineage: Eukaryota; Fungi.
AAGUCGUAACAAGGUUUCCGUAGGUGAACCUGCGGAAGGAUCAUUAACACGAAACUCCACGUUUCAUACCAACCUGUGGUCUUGUAACUUUCUGUUUUUUGGAACGAAAGAAGCGGGAUGGGCUUUUUUUUAAGCCUGUGUCGUCUUUUUUUCCUCCAAAGAAUUUUAUUUACAAAAACCCCUUGUAUCAUCUAUUGACUGAACCAAUGGAAGUUUUGAGUACCCUCCGGGGCGCUCGCUUCUUGAUAUUACGAAACUCUGAACAACUCUAAGCAACGGAUAUCUUGGUUCUC